GAUGAACGCUGGCGGCGUGCCUAAUACAUGCAAGUCGAGCGAACAGACGAGGAGCUUGCUCCUCUGACGUUAGCGGCGGACGGGUGAGUAACACGUGGAUAACCUACCUAUAAGACUGGGAUAACUUCGGGAAACCGGAGCUAAUACCGGAUAAUAUAUUGAACCGCAUGGUUCAAUAGUGAAAGACGGUUUUGCUGUCACUUAUAGAUGGAUCCGCGCCGCAUUAGCUAGUUGGUAAGGUAACGGCUUACCAAGGCGACGAUGCGUAGCCGACCUGAGAGGGUGAUCGGCCACACUGGAACUGAGACCCGGUCCAGACUCCUACGGGAGGCAGCAGUAGGGAAUCUUCCGCAAUGGGCGAAAGCCUGACGGAGCAACGCCGCGUGAGUGAUGAAGGUCUUCGGAUCGUAAAACUCUGUUAUUAGGGAAGAACAAAUGUGUAAGUAACUAUGCACGUCUUGACGGUACCUAAUCAGAAAGCCACGGCUAACUACGU
RNAcentral lists this ribosomal RNA (496 nucleotides) under uncultured bacterium. RNAcentral describes it as "partial 16S ribosomal RNA". It matches the Rfam family "Bacterial small subunit ribosomal RNA", at positions 28 to 506 of the family's 1533-position model. The record is from RNAcentral.